Molecule: ribosomal RNA, 255 nt
Filed under: Pseudoalteromonas shioyasakiensis
Lineage: Bacteria; Pseudomonadati; Pseudomonadota; Gammaproteobacteria; Alteromonadales; Pseudoalteromonadaceae
Description: partial 23S ribosomal RNA
Rfam family: Bacterial large subunit ribosomal RNA
Source: RNAcentral
CGUACAAGCAGUAGGAGCCCUUCGAGGGUGACUGCGUACCUUUUGUAUAAUGGGUCAGCGACUUAUAUUUUGUAGCGAGGUUAACCGAUUAGGGUAGCCGUAGGGAAACCGAGUCUUAACUGGGCGCGUAGUUGCAAGGUAUAGACCCGAAACCCGGUGAUCUAGCCAUGGGCAGGUUGAAGGUUGAGUAACAUCAACUGGAGGACCGAACCCACUAACGUUGAAAAGUUAGGGGAUGACCUGUGGCUAGGAGUG